RNAcentral lists this ribosomal RNA (301 nucleotides) under uncultured bacterium. RNAcentral describes it as "partial 16S ribosomal RNA". It matches the Rfam family "Bacterial small subunit ribosomal RNA", at positions 509 to 807 of the family's 1533-position model. The record is from RNAcentral.
CAGUCGCCGCGGUAAUACAGAGGGUGCGAGCGUUAAUCGGAUUUACUGGGCGUAAAGCGUGCGUAGGCGGCUUCUUAAGUCGGAUGUGAAAUCCCUAAGCUUAACUUAGGAAUUGCAUUCGAUACUGGGAAGCUAGAGUAUGGGAGAGGAUGGUAGAAUUCCAGGUGUAGCGGUGAAAUGCGUAGAGAUCUGGAGGAAUACCGAUGGCGAAGGCAGCCAUCUGGCCUAAUACUGACGCUGAGGUACGAAAGCAUGGGGAGCAAACAGGAUUAGAUACCCGCGUAGUCCCUGUCUCUUAUAC